CCCGUUCUUAAAAGAGCGACAGAUUCCUAAUCUGUAGGCCACUGGUUCGAAUCCAGUCGGGAUCACCA
RNAcentral lists this transfer RNA (68 nucleotides) under Phyllobacterium trifolii. Its description in RNAcentral is "tRNA-Arg". It matches the Rfam family "tRNA". From Rfam's summary of the family: Transfer RNA (tRNA) molecules are approximately 80 nucleotides in length. The record is from RNAcentral. Lineage: Bacteria; Pseudomonadati; Pseudomonadota; Alphaproteobacteria; Hyphomicrobiales; Phyllobacteriaceae.